GGGUUGAUAGCUUAAAAGGUAAAGCAUGUAGCUCAUAACUACAAAGUAUUUGGUUCGAUCCCAACUCAACCUA
Molecule: transfer RNA, 73 nt
Filed under: Callyspongia plicifera (azure vase sponge)
Lineage: Eukaryota; Metazoa; Porifera; Demospongiae; Haplosclerida; Callyspongiidae
Description: tRNA-Ile
Rfam family: tRNA
About the family: Transfer RNA (tRNA) molecules are approximately 80 nucleotides in length. Their secondary structure includes four short double-helical elements and three loops (D, anti-codon, and T loops).
Source: RNAcentral